RNAcentral lists this ribosomal RNA (468 nucleotides) under uncultured bacterium. RNAcentral describes it as "partial 16S ribosomal RNA". It matches the Rfam family "Bacterial small subunit ribosomal RNA", at positions 28 to 507 of the family's 1533-position model. The record is from RNAcentral.
GAUGAACGCUGGCGGCGUGCUUAACACAUGCAAGUCGAACGGAAAGGCCCUGCUUUUGUUGGGGGCUCGGGUGGCGAACGGGUGAGUAACACGUGAGUAACCUGGCCUUACUUUUGGGAUAACUACAUGAAACCGCGUCGAAUAACGGAUAGCACCUCCUGCAUCUUGGUGGGGGUUGGUGAGUUUCGGCGGUUGGGGAUGGAUUCCCGGCUCAUCAGCUUGUUGGUGGGGUAGUGGCUUACCAAGGCUUUGACGGGUCGCCGGCCUGAGAGGGUGACCGGCCACAUUGGGACUGAGAUACGGCCCAGACUGCUACGGUAGGCAGCAGUGGGGAAUAUUGCAGAGUGGGGGGAAGCCUGAUGAAGCAACGCCGCGUGCGGGAUGACGGGCUUCGGGUGGUAAACCGCUUUCGCCUGGGACGAAGCGUGAGUGACGGUAAUGUGUAAAGAAGCACCGGCUAACUACGUG